CGGCGAAGCCGCGAGGUGGAGCGAAUCCCAAAAAGCCGGUCUAAGUUCGGAUUGCAGGCUGCAACCCGCCUGCAUGAAGUCGGAAUCGCUAGUAAUCGCGAGUCAGCACAUCGCGGUGAAUACGUUCCCGGGUCUUGUACACACCGCCCGUCACACCAUGGGAGUUGGCAACACCCGAAGUCGAUGAGCUAACCGUAAGGAGGCAGUCGCCUAAGGUGGGGUUGAUAACUGGGGUGAAGUCGUAACAAGGUAAC
This 254-nucleotide ribosomal RNA is filed under the name uncultured bacterium. Its description in RNAcentral is "partial 16S ribosomal RNA". It matches the Rfam family "Bacterial small subunit ribosomal RNA", at positions 1247 to 1500 of the family's 1533-position model. The record is from RNAcentral.